RNAcentral lists this ribosomal RNA (500 nucleotides) under uncultured bacterium. RNAcentral's name for it is "partial 16S ribosomal RNA". It matches the Rfam family "Bacterial small subunit ribosomal RNA", at positions 29 to 523 of the family's 1533-position model. The record is from RNAcentral.
AUUGAACGCUAGCGGGAUGCCUUACACAUGCAAGUCGAACGGCAGCGCGGACUUCGGUCUGGCGGCGAGUGGCGAACGGGUGAGUAACGUAUCGGAACGUGCCCAGUAGCGGGGGAUAACUACUCGAAAGAGUAGCUAAUACCGCAUACGCCCUACGGGGGAAAGGGGGGGAUCGCAAGACCUCUCACUAUUGGAGCGGCCGAUAUCGGAUUAGCUAGUUGGUGAGGUAAAGGCUCACCAAGGCGACGAUCCGUAGCUGGGUUGAGAGGACGGCCAGCCAAACGGGGAGUGAGACACGGCCCAAACUCCUGCGGGAGGCAGCAGUGGGGAAUUUUGGACAAUGGGGGCAACCCUGAUCCAGCCAAUCCGCGUGUGCGAUGAAGGCCUUCGGGUUGUAAAGCACUUUUGGCAGGAAAGAAAUCGCACGGAUUAAUACUCUGUGUGGAUGACGGUACCUGCAGAAUAAGCACCGGCUAACUACGUGCCAGCCGCCGCAGUAA